This 484-nucleotide ribosomal RNA is filed under the name Ceratocystiopsis collifera. RNAcentral describes it as "SSU rRNA". It matches the Rfam family "Eukaryotic small subunit ribosomal RNA", at positions 405 to 895 of the family's 1831-position model. Lineage: Eukaryota; Fungi; Ascomycota; Sordariomycetes; Ophiostomatales; Ophiostomataceae. The record is from RNAcentral.
GGCUACUACAUCCAAGGAAGGCAGCAGGCGCGCAAAUUACCCAAUCCCGACGCGGGGAGGUAGUGACAAUAAAUACUGAUACAGGGCUCUUUUGGGUCUUGUAAUUGGAAUGAGUACAAUUUAAUUCCCUUAACGAGGAACAAUUGGAGGGCAAGUCUGGUGCCAGCAGCCGCGGUAAUUCCAGCUCCAAUAGCGUAUAUUAAAGUUGUUGCAGUUAAAAAGCUCGUAGUUGAACCUUGGGCCUGGCUGGCGGUCCGCCUCACCGCGUGCACUGGUCCGGCCGGGCCUUUCCCUCUGGGGAGCCGCAUGCCCUUUGCUGGGAGUGUCGGGGAACCAGGACUUUUACUUUGAAAAAAUUAGAGUGUUCAAAGCAGGCUUAUGCUCGAAUACAUUAGCAUGGAAUAAUAGAAUAGGACGUGUGGUUCUAUUUUGUUGGUUUCUAGGACCGCCGUAAUGAUUAAUAGGGACAGUCGGGGGCAUCAGU